CAUCUCUGAGUAUCAAGCAGAAUUUCACUUGAUUUUUGUCUCAUCACUGCUUCCAGUAGACCGUAUCUUGAUUAGCUUCUCUUUGGCUCGGAAGAGGACGGCAUGAAAUUCAUCAAAAUAAGGUUGAGUUGCAUUUCUUGUAUCGUCAAUCCACUUCCCAAUCUUUUUAUAUGGGUCUAAUAUUUGUUUGCGAACCUUCUCAUCUAAGACCUAAAAUUCAACCAUAGUCUUGAAAUGAGGAUAAUUCCUUUGUCAUGUAUACUCAAAAGAUAAAAUGCAGGUAGGAUCUCUGAAGUCGAGAGAAAUAGGUUCAUAAUAUCUGUAUGAGCAUAAACACCAAAACAAAAAAAAAAAAAAAAAAAAAAAAAAAAAAAACGAGAUGCAGAAGACAUCUAUCUUCACCUCAAGUUGCAUAAUUUCAGAGACUAAAAUCAGGUCUGCCAUGGAAGGUUGAGAUCUUCCCAGCAGAAAGUGUCCAUCACGCUUGAGCCAGAAGGAUUCGACCUUUGGAAGAGAAGCUAGGAGGACUUUUCUAGCUUCAGCUGCUGCUUCUAAAUUC
This 559-nucleotide long non-coding RNA is filed under the name Coffea arabica (coffee). RNAcentral describes it as "long non-coding RNA (CARA_LNC006114)". Lineage: Eukaryota; Viridiplantae; Streptophyta; Magnoliopsida; Gentianales; Rubiaceae. The record is from RNAcentral.